GACGAACGCUGGCGGCGUGCCUAAUACAUGCAAGUCGAGCGCUGAAGGCUGGUACUUGUACCGACUGGAUGAGCAGCGAACGGGUGAGUAACGCGUGGGGAAUCUGCCUUUGAGCGGGGGACAACAUUUGGAAACGAAUGCUAAUACCGCAUAAAAACUUUAAACACAAGCUUUAAGUUUGAAAGAUGCAAUUGCAUCACUCAAAGAUGAUCCCGCGUUGUAUUAGCUAGUUGGUGAGGUAAAGGCUCACCAAGGCGAUGAUACAUAGCCGACCUGAGAGGGUGCUCGGCCAAGUUGGGCCUGAGACACGGCCCAAACCCCUACGGGAGGCAGCAGUAGGGAAUCCUCGGCAAUGGAAGAAAGUCUGACCGAGCAACGCCGCGUGAGUGCAGAAGGUUUUCGGAUCGUAAAACUCUGUUGGUAGAGAAGAACGUUGGUGAGAGUGGAAAGCGCAUCAAGUGACGGUAACUACCCAGAAAGGGACGGCUAACUACGUG
Molecule: ribosomal RNA, 497 nt
Filed under: uncultured bacterium
Lineage: Bacteria
Description: partial 16S ribosomal RNA
Rfam family: Bacterial small subunit ribosomal RNA
Source: RNAcentral